Molecule: ribosomal RNA, 120 nt
Filed under: Methanobacteriota archaeon
Lineage: Archaea; Methanobacteriati; Methanobacteriota
Source: RNAcentral
UAUGACGGCCACAGCGGUGGGGAUACACCUGGUCUCAUCCCGAACCCAGAAGUAAAGCCCGCCUACGUUCUCUGCGGUACUGUGGUGCGCGAGCCCAUGGGAAGUUUAGCCCCUUCGGGG